Molecule: long non-coding RNA, 2224 nt
Organism: Oncorhynchus kisutch (coho salmon)
Lineage: Eukaryota; Metazoa; Chordata; Actinopteri; Salmoniformes; Salmonidae
Exons: 3
Source: RefSeq, a predicted model, not a curated record
CAUUUGGACACUGCACCCGCCCACUCUAGCUCAGAGGGUUUAUGUGGUUCCAAGAAGAAGACACAAGUUUUGGCUUGCUAUCAAGGUUUUUCGUUGUGUUUACGAGGAAGAUUGUGCGUGCAUCCAAGAAAAACCACAAGUCCAUUUCUUGUAACCACAAAGAUACUUCAAUGAUGUGUGGGUUUGUGCAACUGUGUGGUGGUGACUUAGAGAAUAAAGCUCUGGAUAUGAAAACAUCUGCCUGGUUUCUGCCGGACUGCCUGUAGUGGGUCAGACCAAAGUACAGCUAGCGUUAAGUCAUUAGCUGGUGAGGGUUCAGAAGCCAACCGCUCAGAUGGCUCCAGCUGGACAUUUUUAUACCCGGUUACUCGUUAACAAGGAUUUCUGGGAUCGUACACUCCCAAUUAUUGUGCAUGAACUUAAACUGACGUUUUCUGGUGUCUGAACUGCAUGACACUUGCACUUGGAAAGAGGAGACAUCAUAGCGUCACGUCAAUACACGCCCAACCAACUAGCUAGUACCACUUACGUUGGGGCGGGAAUAUUUGAAUUGCAGUGUCAGUUAGCUAGAGAGAUCCCUAGAUCCGUAGACCCCUCCGUAGAGAUCCACUCACUGCCUGUCCGCAACAUUAGCUGUGAUUUCAACGAGAAGACUUCAAGACUUUCAACAAAGUCGACAUCGAAGUACUUCAAAAGAACCAUGGUCUAGGCACAAUUUACACAGUAGGUCUUACGUUAGUGUGGUGGUUGUACAUUGAAAUGAUUUACUAGCUAGCUAACGUUAGUCAGCUGAAUUAAGUGCCAGAGAUGAAUAAACAUAUUUUAGCUAGCUAGCUACUUUGGUGUUAAGCAAGAGUUUAGGGGUUAGUUGUUGCAAGGUGCUUGAAUGCCUUAUAAAAUAAGCUGUUUAUCAAAAGGUAAUAAGACUUACUAGCACACUGUGUCCUAUUGCAGGGAAGUGAUGUUUUUUGUUUUUGUGAGUGUAGGGAAAAACUUGUGAUCGAUAUUGAAGCAUAGAGGUGUUUUAUGGAGACAUGAACAAUUAUUCUACUCAAUAUCCCUACACCCCAGUCUCCUCUGCUACCUCCCAGGGAGGAGGAAUACCCUAAACUCCUCGUUCUCACAGGACUCGGGCUAGUACGCUGUUGCCAGGUCAGUCUUGGGGGUGACCCGGCUGAGACAUGUUGGAUACAACAUUGGGUCGUUGACCAGCAGUGGUUACCCUCCCCAGGACAUGUUGCCCUCCUGCUCCUCCUCUGCUGUCUCUUCCUCAGCCGGGGCAUGCAAAGCUCCCUGUUACCCAGAGGACCCCCAUGCACCUCCUCAGCUAUCACAUGGGUCGCCCACGUACCCCCCUACUGCCCCCUUAAUGAGCCCCAGGUCUACCCCACAUAUGCGAUACCACCCCCCUUCACUCCAGGACAAGCAGCCCCCUCUGGCAGACCGGUACAGAGAGAAGGACAAGGACAGAGCGGGACAGGGACUCAGGAGUGAGGUAUGUGCCAGUAGGAUCGGCUCUAGAAGGUCAUCUUACCAGGAGGCCAACUCUUCCUCAAAUGAUUCGCACCACUCGGAGUGAGAGUGAGGGGAGAGGGGCUACAGACGGGACAGCCUGGGCUCCAGAGAUGACCGCAGACACCGUAACCACCACUCACACAACCACAGCAGCAGCAGCAGAGCAGCCAUGACAGCAGGAACAGAAACAGCGACUACUCCAACAGCUCCGAUCCCACCACACCCCUCUGCUUCCCCCACUGCACCCUCCCUCCCUCCUGCUGCCUCUGUGAUAGCCCAGGACUGUGGCCAGGAUGGCCCGGCCAAGCCCAAACGCCAUGUGUAUCUAGGGCUGAGCGAUGUGGCCAAAAUAUCAUAUAACUGUAUUUUUGAUGGUAUGUUGGUUUUUGAUGUUUCUGAAUACUAAUAAAGUUCUAAAUAUGCUUUAUGGGUAGUACAUGGCCCAAGGAUGGCAACAGAUGAAUUCUAAGUGGUUUUAAUGUGCUUUCUCCAUUCAGAUUGCUUUGCUGUUCAACCAAACUUCAACCAAAAAUAAUAGAAAGACUAAAUUAACUUACUCUGGUUAUCGACCAAUGAAUGCCAUUUGCAUAGUUAUUUGUUCAAUUCUAGAGUUCACUUGCAGCAUUUGAAUACAUUUCUUCAAUUCCUGCUCUGAUUCAUCAGUCACACACUGUGUCAUGUUUCUUUUGUCUUACAGUGCCUUGCAAAA